RNAcentral lists this long non-coding RNA (1108 nucleotides) under Fukomys damarensis (Damara mole-rat). Its description in RNAcentral is "lncRNA (ENSFDAG00000022061.1)". The record is from RNAcentral. Lineage: Eukaryota; Metazoa; Chordata; Mammalia; Rodentia; Bathyergidae.
AGGGCCCUGGCUGAUCCUGCCCCAGGGCCUGUGGUCACACUUAGAAAUGGAGAACCCUCCCUGCUUUCCUGGAUGGACCACUCAUCUCUUACUUAACCAGCAGAGAAGAAGAGAGGUAGGUGGUGCUUGGGGCUAGAGUGGAUCCAGUAUUUGAUUCUUAAUUAGUCUCAGUUAUUUACAGGCUGCAGAGCAAAAGGAUGGAGGGGCAGGUUUAUAACUUAUGAUCAGUGAAGUUCAGGUAUGUUCUGGGCCAGUUUUGUAAGAUAGCUGUCCCAACAAAGGAUUUAUCAACAAAAUAAAAAAAGAAAAUAAAAAAAAAAAACUCUAGAGAAAAUAGCUCUUUUACAACAUGAGAGUCUAACAGGAAAAUCUUCAAGCAGAAACCACACACUUCGCCCUGCCCAGCUUCCCUCCUACCCAGCUCAGCACACAGGCAGAAGACCUCUCUAAUCAUCCUCUCAAGGAACAAACACUUGACCUUUCCUUUUCUCAUAUGGCUUCCCCAUGUGUCAGGUGAAUUUUCCUUCAUGGAAAUGGAUUCCUGUUUGGGUUAUUUUUGAAGGUAAGAGUGAAGGACUUGGGGGCUUUGUUGUGACCACCCUGUACCCUUUGCUUUAAUGGAGUUGUAAUAGGUUCAGCUCAAUAGCCACAUCUUUGGCCUCAGUGGAAUUCUGCUUGACCAAGAUUAUGGACAGAAGGCAGCAGCUGCUUACAACCUGGUGUGCUUGCAGGUGAAAGGGACCAGUGGAAUCUGCUCUCCAUUUUCAUUUCCGUCAUGUUGGGUCGCAUACAGCUACUUUCUGGCUUGUACCACAGCAGGGAAACCUAAACUGAUCUUUCUGCCUCUAGUCUUGACCUCCUUUCAUGUAUUCUCUUAUUGCCUUCAGAACAAUUCUUCCUAAAAGCCUGACUAAUGUGAUGACUCCCCUUUGAAAAAAAUCUACAAAUGCCUCCAGACAUUUCGAUGUAAAUCCUUCACACACACACACGCACACACACACACACACACACACACACACACACACACACACACACACAUAUAUAUAUAUGACUUUUUAUGAUCCCGCAAUUAUUCACAAUGGCAAUUUCAUCUCUUCUUCACCCCACC